Molecule: non-coding RNA, 45 nt
Filed under: Trichobilharzia regenti
Lineage: Eukaryota; Metazoa; Platyhelminthes; Trematoda; Strigeidida; Schistosomatidae
Source: RNAcentral
AUCCAGAUGAUGAGUCCCAAAUAGGACGAAAUGCGCAUCCUGAAU